AGGAAGUCUGUGUUCCGAGGUAUGGGAGAAAGCAUUUGCUUACAAACCUUUGACCAGGAAAGUGGAGGGCCACAGAGGCCAGGCCGAGGCCGAGAAGAGGCCCCGCCGAAACAGCCCACCCGCCAAUGCCCCUCCUGUCCCUGACCUGGACCUCGGGCUGAGCUCAUGCAUAUCUGAUUUCAUUUAAGUAACGGCAUUUAUGACUGACCAUUGUGUGGAAGGCACUAUCUUAAGUGCUCUCCAGUUGAGUCAUGACACCAUAAUAGCGACAGUGCUAACAGGUGGAAUGUGUUCCAUUGCCAGGAGCUGAACUCUGCCUAAAAGCAUUAUUCCAUCUAAUCUUAGUAGCUCAACUGUGAGGCAGGUGCCAUGAUUAGCACCCUUGCUUCGAGUUUAGGUGGUGGAGGCUUAGAGAAGUGAAGCGGUUUGCCCAGGUUCCAAGGGGUGAGAAAACCAAGGCCGGAAACUGUAACAGUUCCUAGUUCAAGGCUGUCUGCCAGACCACUGUUCUUCAUCAUGUGGGCAGAAGAAACGCAUGUCUGUGAACUCUGCAGGGACAGAGGGCAGUGAUACAGGCUGGAACCGAAGAUGACUGCCCUCUAAAGAAGCCGACAAUCUGGGACUGAGCUCAGUACAUCCAGUAGCCGCUGGCCCGGCCCGGGGCCGCCAGCAAGCUCUCUGACCCUUGGCUAGUUUUUAUGCAAGAUGGCAAGAGGGACAAUAUAAUUUUUCAGAUAACUCACAGUUUUAUCAUCUUACAAUUCUUUGGAUUGCAAUCAUAAAAAAUUCAGAAUAAAUCUGUUUAUUAAACUCUAAUUUGCUU
This is a long non-coding RNA of Sapajus apella (tufted capuchin), 823 nucleotides long. RefSeq lists it as uncharacterized. The record is from RefSeq and is a predicted model, not a curated record. NCBI's taxonomy places the organism in Eukaryota, Metazoa, Chordata, Mammalia, Primates, Cebidae. The transcript is spliced from 3 exons.